Poecilia latipinna (sailfin molly) is the source of this 926-nucleotide long non-coding RNA. RefSeq lists it as uncharacterized. The transcript is spliced from 4 exons. The record is from RefSeq and is a predicted model, not a curated record. NCBI's taxonomy places the organism in Eukaryota, Metazoa, Chordata, Actinopteri, Cyprinodontiformes, Poeciliidae.
UUUGUGUUUUAGUUCACGUCCCUCUGUGUUCACUGGUUGGCUCUCUCGUCUUUCUCAAAGCUGUUCCAAAUGCCCCUGAUUAAUCUCACCUGGAGGGAACUAAUAUCAUUCAGCACCCUUGUGUUGGUAUAAACUCUGUUUUAUUUGCUGAUUCUUCCAUUAUCAUUUUCUGUCUUCCUCAUGCUCUUUCUGUGAGUUUGUUUUCAUCCAGCUUUCUAUGUUAAUUCAGAACUAUUGACUUCAGAUUGAUCCAACAGAGCAUGACACAAGCUGAAAUAAAUCAACUUAUACCCACGUCAGACUGUAGGGAGGUAUCUAGACGCGUCCUGGACCUAGUAACCAGAAGAGUGAGCCAUCAGCGGGGGCCGGUGGCUAACGCGGAGGAGCGCGGCUGGCCUUCACUGAGUCAAAGCCAGGGGGGAAUUAUCAGCCGGAUCGCAGCAGAGCACACACGUCUGACUGAGGCGGCCCUGUAAGCCCGCGAAUCAACCUUUGUGGAUCCACUGGAAAAGGCUUUCAUCCUCUCUCGCACCCUGCGAUGCAUCAGGAGGAUCCAGGCGUUUGGGGAGCCUGCAGUCUCUCUCUCGCUCUCUGGCUGCAUGUGUUGAUGAACAAACCGGCUGCACGUGUCAGAGCUUGCCUGUUCCUGGUGGCGACUGAGGCAGCUUUCAUCCAGACACCCGGUGACGCUGUGCCUGCCACCAGCAUCAAAGCACGUCUUCUCUCCAACGCCUCGGAGAGCAUCGGGAAAAUGUCAAACGGUUUGGUUGCUUUGGGGGUAAAUCGCUGCUUCAUGUGAAGUUUGGGAGUCUGAUGACGUAUUUAAAGCUGACGAUGAACUUUCUGAGUCUUCGCAAAACACUACAAAAGACGAGUGUGUGUAACUGUAAGCGCCGCCUGCAUGACAGUAAAAUGAGCUUACCUGC